UGGAAGACUUGUGAUUUUGUUGUCUGAUAGCUAAACAACAUGUCACAGUCUUUCCUCA
RNAcentral lists this microRNA precursor (58 nucleotides) under Eisenia fetida (common brandling worm). RNAcentral describes it as "Efe-Mir-7-P13_pre stem-loop". Lineage: Eukaryota; Metazoa; Annelida; Clitellata; Crassiclitellata; Lumbricidae. The record is from RNAcentral.